GGGGCUAUAGCUCAGUUGGGAGAGCGCCUGCCUUGCACGCAGGAGGUCUGCGGUUCGAUCCCGCAUAGCUCCACCA
RNAcentral lists this transfer RNA (76 nucleotides) under Psychromonas ingrahamii 37. RNAcentral's name for it is "tRNA-Ala (TGC) (tRNA-Ala-TGC-1 1 to 3)". It matches the Rfam family "tRNA". Rfam says of the family: Transfer RNA (tRNA) molecules are approximately 80 nucleotides in length. RNAcentral also lists the same sequence under 2 other names. The record is from RNAcentral. Lineage: Bacteria; Pseudomonadati; Pseudomonadota; Gammaproteobacteria; Alteromonadales; Psychromonadaceae.